This 366-nucleotide long non-coding RNA is filed under the name Mytilus galloprovincialis (Mediterranean mussel). The record is from RNAcentral. Lineage: Eukaryota; Metazoa; Mollusca; Bivalvia; Mytilida; Mytilidae.
CACAAAUUUGGUCAAACAGCCUUUCAAUUUUAAUCAAUUUAUCAUACAAGCACAAUUUGCAACAUUUGCCGUAGUUCCACAACAAAAUCAUAAUUAAUAGAAAGAUGAGAACUGUAAUGAACUCUCAAGAAAACAUCAUUUAUCUUGAAAUCCAUUUAAUUUUUGAAACCAGACGUUGUGUGUCUGUUGAUUUAAAAUCGACGCCAUUUUGUGUUCACUUCUACUGUGUUACUGUAUAAGCCUCCGCCGGUAAGAGAACCUCUGAAUACAAAGAAAGAUAACUCAAAUUUUAUCCAUUUUCUCAUUGAUACUGACAAGACCAUAAGUAAGACUAAAUCAAAAUCUGUCUUCAUCCUUCUAACUUUA